CAGUCGCCGCGGUAAUACGUAGGGUCCGAGCGUUGUCCGGAAUUAUUGGGCGUAAAGAGCUCGUAGGCGGUCUGUCGCGUCUGCCGUGAAAUCCUCAGGCUCAACCUGAGGCGUGCGGUGGGUACGGGCAGGCUAGAGUGCGGUAGGGGAGAAUGGAACUCCUGGUGUAGCGGUGGAAUGCGCAGAUAUCAGGAAGAACACCGAUGGCGAAGGCAGUUCUCUGGGCCGUAACUGACGCUGAGGAGCGAAAGCGUGGGGAGCGAACAGGAUUAGAUACCCCUGUAGUCCCUGUCUCUUAUAC
This 301-nucleotide ribosomal RNA is filed under the name uncultured bacterium. RNAcentral's name for it is "partial 16S ribosomal RNA". It matches the Rfam family "Bacterial small subunit ribosomal RNA", at positions 509 to 807 of the family's 1533-position model. The record is from RNAcentral.